GACGAACGCUGGCGGCGUGCUUAACACAUGCAAGUCGAACGAAGUGGCGAACGGGUGAGUAACGCGUAAUCAACCUGCCCUUCAGAGGGGGACAACAGUUGGAAACGACUGCUAAUACCGCAUACUGAAGGAGGGGAUUGCGUCUGAUUAGCUAGUUGGCGGGGUAACGGCCCACCAUGGCGAUGAUCAGUAGCCGGUCUGAGAGGAUGAACGGCCACAUUGGGACUGAGAAACGGCCCAGACUCCUACGGGAGGCAGGAGUGGGGAAUCUGCCGGAAGGGACGGAAGGCAGAGGGAGCAACGCGGUGUAGGUGAUGACGGCCGUAGGGUUGUAAAGGUCUGUUAAUCGGGACGCGGUACCGGAACAGAUAGCGACGGCUAACUACGUGCCAGCAGCCGCGGUAAUAC
RNAcentral lists this ribosomal RNA (408 nucleotides) under uncultured bacterium. RNAcentral describes it as "partial 16S ribosomal RNA". It matches the Rfam family "Bacterial small subunit ribosomal RNA", at positions 28 to 526 of the family's 1533-position model. The record is from RNAcentral.